Molecule: long non-coding RNA, 22919 nt
Filed under: Vitis vinifera (wine grape)
Lineage: Eukaryota; Viridiplantae; Streptophyta; Magnoliopsida; Vitales; Vitaceae
Description: long non-coding RNA (VVIN_LNC001268)
Source: RNAcentral
UGGAAGCGGAAACCAGAAGCCUAAUCCAGAAAAAUAAAGCUUCCGAUGCCAAGAAACUGAAUGACAUAAAAAGAGACAUGGCCCAUCUAGAAUGGUAUAAGAAGAAAUCGGAAAUGGGUUACUACGAUUGCUUCAAAAAUCAGGGGUCUAAAAGGGACAUCAACGUUGAACAAUUUAGGGGAAACCUCACAAUGUACUGGGAAGACAUGGUUGCACAAGUACAGAGGAAGCCCCAGAAGGAAGGAGCAACAUUUCGAACCCGUUGGUUCUAUGCAGGGACAGUUUAUAGGAGAAUGGUUGAACCACUGGACAUUGCUGCCUUCUACAGAGAGGGUGGAACAGACUACAUAAACAAUGGAAGAUCUCUUCAUUACAAGCUGUUGCAGCAAUGGUAUGAAGAAGAUGUGAAACCCCCCUCUAGAGAUAAGCUUGAUUCCAAGAAGCAAAAGGUGUCUGGUAUCCUAACUGAGGAUUCUUUGUUUUGGGCACAUGUGGAGGAGGCCAUCUUGUCAUGCGAAUUGCUCAAGAGUCAAAACUGUACUCUUGAGCAGGGAAAAUCAUCAUGGGAUAAUCUGGUUAAGUUCGAGGAGUAUGUAAUGGAACAUAUUAACAACUAUGCAGCGUCCCCUGAGAUUUUCUCGAGGGAAAGCAGCUUCAUGAAAUGGUGGGGACUGUAUGAGGGCUACAUAGAUACUUGCAGUAAUUCCCAUGGGUCGCCAUUGAUCAACUUCAUGAAGAAACGUAGCUAUAUGAAGUAUGGUUAGAGGGGCAAUCCAGUUUGUGUGUUGUGUUUGUUGUUUUGUGAGCGUUCAAUGGAUAAAACUAGAAAGAGUGACCUUUUUCCCUUUUUCUUGGUUGCUGCCCAUAUUCUCAGCACUAUUUUCUUCCUUCUUUUCCUCUGUUUUUUUGUUAAGAAAUGAAUAUUAUGAUGUUGCUGGGAUGCACUUUCAUUGUUGUUCUAUUACAUUGUGUUUUAUUUAUAUCCUAAACAAAUAAAUCAAAACAAGAAAAUCAAAUAAGACUUAAAGAGUCUUUUCCUUCAAAAAAAAAAAUGGGGAAAAAGAAAAACAUUUUUGUUUAGAUUCAACUCCACCAAAACUUGCAACAACUUCCCAUUGAAAAAUUCCUUUUAAGCUUCUGAAUGAUAUAAAACCAGAUAUGUUCCAGCUAGAAUGGUACAAGAAAGAAAUCAAAAGAUGAGUACAGUGGGUUAUUAUGACAGCUUUAGAAACCUGGGGUGUAAAAGAGACAUUAAAAUGGAACCGAUGGGAAGACAUGGUAGAACACGUAGAGAGGAAGCCUCACCAGGAAGGGGCAGCUUUGCAAACCCUCUGGCUCUGUACAGGAACGAAUUAUAGAAAGAUGGUUGAACCACUUGACAUUGUUCCCUACCACAGAGAGGGUGGAAGACACUACAUAACAUUACACGCUAUUGGAGCAAUGAUGCAAUGAAGAGGAGAAGGGGGCUUUGUCUUCUCAUGCAAAUUGCUCUCAGAGCUCAGAACCUACUCCUGAAGGGAAAGAAUCAUCAUUGAGUGAUCUGGUUAAGUUUGAGGAUUUAUUUAUAUAAUUGAACUGAUUGGAAGCUAUGCAGUGUCGGCCCCCGCCCGAGCAGCUUCAUGAAACGGUGGAAAGAGUUGGAAGAAGUCAUAGAUACUUGCUAUAGGAGCUUCAUGAAGUAUGGAGAGGUGUGGCAUAGAUACUUGCAGUCUCUGAAUUUCCCAAAUCCAAUUUCAGAUUGUGUAUUUAGAUUCGUGGAACUUGUUUUCUUGCUUUUUGUUAGGUACAAUUGAGAUGGGCUGAACCGAAAGGCCCGCCAGGAUGAACAAUAUAAUGGGCCUGAAUUUUAAACCAGCGGAUGGGCUUUGUACUGGAUUCAGCUGUCUGAGCCCAAUGAGUAUUGAAUGUAUUUCUGUAUAAAAUUAAAUUUUUAACAUUGAAAUAUAAGGACUUACUUAAAAACACAUUUGGUAACUUUUUUUUUUUUAUGGUUAAUAAUAGAUUUAAAAAAAAAUUAAAAAUAUAUAAUUUUUUAGGAUAAAUUUGAGGCAUGUUUAGGUAUUUUUCGUGGUAAAGAGUUUUGAGAAGCAAUGGGAAAUAUACAGAAUACUUUAAAAACUUUUGCAUAAGUAAGAUACUUACACGAGGCUUUCAUGAAAAAUAAAUUGAUAAAAACAAUUCUCAUAUUUAAAUUUCGAAACAUAAAACAACUCAGAACUGUUUUUAAAAAUUGUUCUUAAAAAUAGUUUUCUAUUAAGUCACAUUCAAGGAUGCUUUUAUCUUUUAUUUUUCUAUGUUUCAUCCUUGCAUAAAUGGAGUACAAAGACAUAAGUUAAUCUAAUUAACAAAUAUAGAUAAUCAUCCGAUAAAAGAGUAAAUUAGGUGAUGAUCUCUUUAUAUAUGCAAGUAAUGGAAUGAAUGUGAUGAAAAAUAAAAUAAAAAAGUAAGGGGAGAAAUGUUGUAAAUAAAGUGUUUUUAUUGUAGUUCAACGACCUAUCCACUUCCGCACCUUGACAUAUUUCACAAUUUUAAAAGUUUUCUUAAUCAUGAUUCUCUUUAUUAUUCUUUAAGUCCGGAUUUCUUAUGUUUCAAUAGACUUUUACAAUCACUAAGAUAGUGUUUGUUUUUUCACUUAAUUCUAAAUAUAACUUAAAACUAAAUAAUAUUUAAUAAUAUCAGGAUUAGGUUGUUUUUUUUAUAACAUUUUAUUUCUAUAUAAUAUUAAAAAGUAAAGAAAAAUCAAUAUAUUAUUUUUUUCAUUUAAAAAAAGUCAAAUAUUUUGACUUUUUUUUAAGCUAAAAAUUUAUAAUAAAAAAUAAAAAACAAACAAACAAACAAACAACUUAAAGUGUAAAAAUAGAUUGUUUUCAAUAAAAAUUUAAAAAAAAACAAACACCUUCUAAAUAAAAUUCCUUAACCACUCGUUCAAUAGCUCCUUUAAGCACAAAAUGUAUUGAAGUGCUCACAAUGAAAAGAUAAACAAGUUUUGAUUCAAUAUAAUUUUGGGUUAUCUAAUUAAAAGGGUCAUUGAAAACCCAAUUUUAGAAAUAUAACCCUUCAUCAUUUUUUUAUCUCGUGUUAACAAAAAUGCUCUUAUUAUUUUCUUAUAAAAAUAAUCAUUUCUUUUAAAACACACUAUAAAUACUCCAAAUAGCCAAGGGCUUUUAUGUAAAAAAAAAUGAAUUACUCUUCAAAUAAAAAUAUUGGAGGGAAUAAAUUCACAAAUAUGAGGUAUUUCAUCCCUUUUAAAUAAUUAUUUCUAUAAUUUUAAGAGUUUAAGAAGGCUAGACAAAGACUAAUUAUUAGGCACAUUUUGUAAAAACACUAGUUAUUAGACACAUUUUUUGCUCAAUCAAGCAAUCACACAGUUGACUAAACACUAAUUAUUGGACUUUUUUUUUUUAUAAUAAGUGGAAGACAAGAAUACAAUCGACUACUUUGGUCAAUUAAGCAAUCAUUCAGUUGACUAUAAACUAGUCUUUAGACAUUUUUUUUUAUAAUAAUUGGAAGACAUGAAUACAAUCGAUUACUUUGGUCAAUUAAUCAAUUAUUCAAGAAAUUUAGAAAAAUAUUGGAUAAAAGAUAUAUAUAACGGAUUAUUUCAAAUUGAAACUUAAGAUCAUAAAUCUUACUUUUAAUGUUGAAAAAUCAUGUAAAACACAAGUUUUUAUCUUUGAAGUAAUCAAUUUCAUUUUUCACAAAAAAUCAUUAAUAAUACAUGAAUGAAUUCUUUUAAAAAAAUCUUAUAAAAAAUGUGAUUAUUUUUCAUUCCCAAAUAUUUAGGUUCUAAAGGUCAAUUUUAAAGCAUACUUAUCCUUACUAUGCCUUACAAGAAAAUCUAUUCUAUACAUAUGAUCUUGUAAAAAACUGUAAAUAAAAAAGAAAAAAAGAAAAAAAACCUCUCUUGUUUUCCUCUUUUGAUUGGAUAUCAUUAUCAUACUUAAAAUUAAAUAUUUAAUCAAAAUAUUAUUUUACUAUCAUCAAAAUUUAGAUUUAACCAAACUUUAGGCUAGUAUGUUGAUACGACAAGUUAAUUUUCUAUCUUAAAGUUUUAAAAACUUUUGAAAUUAAACAUUUUCUUACACAUUUAUUUUUAAAGUUUUUAGCAUAAAAUUUAAAAUUGAAGCUUUUAAAGGAAAACCUCAUAAUAUAAUAUACUAGAAAGACAUGGUCAAACAAAUAGAGACGAAGCCUCAAAAGGAAGGGGCAAUGGUUGAACCACUUGACAUUGUUGCCUACUACUAAGAUGGUGUAAGAAACAACAUAACCAAUGGAACAUAUGCACAUUAAACAUUGUACAAUUAUUAUAAAUGUCUUAUACAUUAUGUGUGAAAAUACCAAAAAAAAAGAAAAAUUAUAUUCAACAUUUACAUUUGUAUACAAACAAUGUUUUCGACAAUUUGAUAUAAAAAACAAAUAAAAAAAAUAAAGAAAAACAUACAAAUAUAUUUACAAUGGACAAACUUAUUCAAUUAGUAUAAAUAUCUUGUAUAUUUAAUACAAAUACCUUAUACUUUGUGAAAAUGUAAAAAUAUAGUAUUUAAUAUUUAUACAUGUGGGUAAGUAAUUUUUCUAAUGGUUUGAUUUAAAAAACAAAUAAUGAGAAUCAAGAAAAACAUGCAAAUAAAUUAGUGUGAAUGAUAAAGGGUGUUUUUUACCAUAAAUUUUCAUGGACUUAGCAUCAAUUAUGCAUCUAUAGAUGUUAACCCAAUUAGCAUAAUGUGAAAACCCUUGCACACAAUAUAUAAACCCUAUACUUGAAUUAGGAAGGACAAAAAAAAAAUAGUUAGAGCAAUUGGUACCAUCAAUGAUGACUUCACCUAAAGAAAGGUUAAUGAACAUUAUGUUCUCAACGGAGAGCAACUCUGGUAGAACAUAUGGAGUAAAUCAAUGCCCUUCUUUUAACGAUGAAGUAGCUAAGUCAUGAAAACAAGGUUUUGCUAACAACAUUAAAGGCAAGAAUUCCCCCAAUAUACUCCAAUUCAUAUUCAAUUCACAGACCUUCAACUAACUACUCUCAGUAACGAGCAAACCCAAGUCAAUACAUAAGAUUGAUUAUUACUUAUGAUAAUUGAAACCCUAAUUAAAUAAAUAAGGACACAAAUAUAUAUAUAUAUAUAUAGGGACAGUUGUGUUUUGGACCUAGGUGAACCCAAAAAUUAAGGUUUGGUUUAUAUAACUUACAUAAUUGAUGAAAAUGAUAUAAGAUAUCAAAAUAUCAAAAUACUCAUUGACCUUUCACAUAAGCUUUUUUGGUAUUUAUUGCACUACUAUUCAUUCAACCAUAAUAAUUCUAUUUUAACUAUUUGGAUUUUUCAUUGUUUUUUAAAACUUUUUAUUUAUAAAUAAUUGAAAAUCAACAUUAUUUUCUAUUUUAAAUUAUAAAUAAAGAAAAAUUACGUUCGAAAACUAUUUUAAAAAAUACUUUCUAAAAAAAAUGGUAAUAUGAUUUAUAUUUUUUAUAUUUUCUUUUAGAAAAAAAUAUUUAAUUAAAAAAUGAAAAAUAUUUUUAAAAAUAAAAAUUGGAAACCUUGUUUAGUACUAUUUUUUUUAUAUAAAAAUAAUAAAAAUAAUUAAAUUUCAUUUAUUGAUUAUCCAUUAAAUUUUAUAUGAAAAUUUUGUAUAAGAGUAAAAAGAUUCAAUAUCUUUAAAAAAAGAAAAAAAAAACAAAACAAAAAGUUAGAAAUGAGUAAUACUUAAUUGGGAAUAGAAAAUGGGAAAAAUUUUGAAAUUUACACUCACUAUAUGUCUACGUAGGGAUUAAGGGUAUUUUAGGGAUUAAUGAAGGAUAAUAUCUUUUAACUUAAUUUUUACAUUUUAUUUGGGUCUUGGGAUUAAAUGUACAUUAUAUAUGGAUCUUUGGUUAAUUUUUGGACCCAUCCGGACCCAAAACACAAUUCUCCAUAAAAAAAUAUUUAUUAAAAUAAAUAAAUUAAUAAAAACCAUUUAGAGAGUUUCAUAACUUAGGUGGUGUUUGUUUUUUUGGCUUUUUGGUGAAAACCAUUUAGUUUUAGAAUUUAGGUUGUUUGUUUUUUUACUUUUUCAUGACUUAUUAUAAACUUUUUACAAAAUAGAAAAAGCCAAAAUAUAUGACUUUUUCUAAAUAGAAAAAUAACACAAUGGUUUUUUUUACUUUUUAAUACUUAAUAGAAAUAAAAUAUUAUAAAAACAAACAACCUAAUAUUUAAUACUAUUAAGUAUUAAAGUUCUAUUUAGAAUUAAGUAAAAAAACAAACACCACCUAAGUGUCGAAGCUAUUGUAAGAAAAAAGUAUUAUAUAAUGUAGGGUUUAGGUUCAAAGUCUACCUAAGAUUAAAUUUAAGUCUUAAGACAAAUUCACAUUCAAAACUAGGUUUUUAAGUUAGAAAAAUAGACCCCUUAAACCAAUUAAAUGGUAAAAAAAAAUUACAAAGAAAAUUUCUCUAGCUGGUUUCUUCAUCUUGAAAACUAACGGAAACAUAUAUCAAUAUUUGGUAUGAAAAUUCGUAACCUUAGAAACACAGCUUUGAGUCUUGCUGAGAAAAACAAAGCUUAUUUGCUCGUAGACCAUCGUAGUGGUCGUCAUACCGUGUGAGGACCGGGGAAGCAUCUUUGCUCGUAGACCGGCUUUUGUAGUCUUUCUUUAACAAUUGCAAGUUGUCAGGAUUCCCUUCAUCCUCCUAUAUAAUAUUGUUUUUGGUCUUGUUCUGGUUGUAUCUCCGUGGAAGGAAGGAAGAUGAAUCAAGUUCCUUUGUAUGUAUCAAUGUCUCUGAUUCAUUUUUUGGUUCCUAGAAUCGAAUCCUCGCUCUGUUCUUGCUUAAUUUCUCCUUUUUCUGUUGGGUCUUUCACUGCAGGUUUAGCUCUGCACGGGAACUGGCAAAUUUGGUGCUGGCCUCCAAUCUAAUCGACUGUGCUUUCACCAAAAUUCUUGAACUUAAGAGAGGCCAAACAGCCUUGCCUGUUCAAUACAGACUUUAUCAACUGUCUUCCAAGUGCACAAUUGUAGCUUUUGUCUCUUCACCUGACUGCACUCAAUACCCUCUUCCUGGACAAGGAGAUUUAGAUCGGUCUCCUCUCUUUGACUUCCUCCGUACCGAAGAAUACCCGUCCGUCUCCAUUAACAGAGCAGCAUUAGACCUCUUUACCCCUCUCCAUGAUCAUCUCUCUGGACUAACAGAUGAGGUCAAAAUCUGAUACUUGUUUGAAUUUUCGUUUCCUUUUCGUUAACAAUUGUGAGACACGAAACAGCUUGACCAUGAGAUCUCCCUCAUGGAGUCGAACUACCUGAAGGAUAAGACGUCACACAUAUCCAUUUUCAUGGCAUCGUCACAUGACCCAUUGAUCGGUUGUGAUUCAACUCUUAAUAGGAAUACAGUAGAACCGGUGUUGGUAUCUGUCUUUAGAUCAGCUUGCAUAUAUCUUGUCACUGAAAAAGGAAUGUUCAGAAGUGAGAUUAGUGGCAUUAUUCUGACAUGGAUUUCAUAUGGUUACUUGUUUUGCAGUUGACUCGGAUUGAAGGUCAAUUAAUCAUCACUGGGCACUCCCUGGGAGGAUCCGUUGCUUCUCUCUUCACCUUACGCCUGCUAGACGGCAAUUUAUUAAAGCCCAAAUGCCAUCCCUUUUGUAUCACCUUUGGUUCACCCCUCAUAGGCGACUUUGGCCUCCAAGACUCCAAAUGGAAUUCUUUCUUCCUGCAUGUAGUGUCUAACCAAGACCCAGUCCCCGGACUCUUCCUCCCAUCCGGCAGAUCUCCGCCCACAUCCUCCCAUUCACAAACUACCGGUUACAAGCCCUUUGGGACAUAUCUCUUGUGCUCUGAACUUGGUUGUGCUUGUUUUGACAACCCUGAUUUAAUUUUGAGAUUGCUGAAAGUCAUAUCAUCAGAGGUUGCCGGAGGAUUGCAGGAUGUUGAUUAUGGGGAGAUUUUAAGAAACCUCAAGGAGAGGGCAAUCUGCAAGGGACUGCCGCAGGUGGGUGAACGGUUUGCAGAUCCAUUUUCAGCUGGGAUCAUCAUGGAACUUGAGACAAUUGGAUUUAAUCAAACAAAGGUAAACAGCUUUCUCCCAUCUAAUGAUGUUAUGAAACAUGGUUUACACUUCACCAUAUACUGCAAUAACUGCCCUAUUCAGAUUUAUCUUCUUGUUCUUUGGGAUCUUCCAUAACUCGUCUCAUUUUUAAAAUUCAUGCCAGCUGCUGCAGCAUAACAUUGAUAUCGACGCUAUGAUAAGAACAAUGGAAGAGGAAACCAGAAGCCUAAUCCAGAAAAAUAAAGCUUCCGAUGCCAAGAAACUGAAUGACAUAAAAAGAGACAUGGCCCAUCUAGAAUGGUAUAAGAAGAAAUCGGAAAUGGGUUACUACGAUUGCUUCAAAAACCAGGGGUCUAAAAGGGACAUCCACGUUGAACAGUUUAGGGUAAACCUCACAAAAUACUGGAAAGACAUGGUUGCACAAGUACAGAGGAAGCCCCAGAAGGAAGGAGCAACAUUUCGAACCCGUUGGCUCUAUGCAGGGACAGUUUAUAGGAGAAUGGUUGAACCACUGGACAUUGCUGCCUUCUACGGAGAGGGUAAAACAGACUACAUAAACAAGAAAAGAUCUCUUCAUUACCAGCUGUUGCAGCAAUGGUAUGAGGAAGAUGUGAAACCCCCCUCUAGAGAUAAGCUUGAUUCCAAGAAGCAAAAGGUGUCUGGUAUCCUAACUGAGGAUUCUUUGUUUUGGGCAUAUGUGGAGGAGGCCAUCUUGUCAUGCGAAUUGCUCAAGAGUCAAAACUGUACUCUUGAGCAGGGAAAAUCAUCAUGGGAUAAUCUGGUUAAGUUCGAGGAGUAUGUAAUGGAACAGAUUAACAACUAUGCAGCGUCCCCUGAGAUUUUCUCGAGGGAAAGCAGCUUCAUGAAAUGGUGGGGACUGUAUGAGGGCUACAUAGAUACUUGCAGUAAUUCCCAUGGGUCGCCAUUGAUCAACUUCAUGAAGGAUCGUAGGUAUAUACAGUAUGGACGUUAGAGGGGCAAUCCAGUUUGUGUGUUGUGUUUGUUGUUUUGUGAGCGUUCAAUGGAUAAAACUAGAAAGAGUGUGACCUUUUUCCCUUUUUCUUGGUUGCUGCCCAUAUUCUCAGCACUAUUUUCUUCCUUCUUUUCCUCAGUUUUUUUUGUUAAGAAAUGAAUAUUAUGAUGUUGCUGGGAUGCACUUUCAUUGUUGUUCUAUUAAAUUGUGUUUUAUUUAUAUCCUAAACAAAUAAAUGUAAACAAGAAAAUCAAAUAAGACUUCAAAGAGUCUUUUCCUUCAAAAAAAAAAAAAAUGGGGAAAAAGAAAAACAUUUUUGUUUAGAUUCAACUCCACCAAAACUUGCAACAACUUCCCAUUGAAAAAUUCCUUUUAAGCUCUGAAUGACAUAAAACUAGAUAUGUUCCAGCUAGAAUGGUACAAGAAAGAAAUCAACAGAUGAGAACAAUGGGUUAUUAUGACAGCUUCAGAAACCUGGGGUGUAAAAGAGACAUUAAAAUGGAACCGAUGGGAAGACAUGGUAAAACACGUAGAGAGGAAGCCUCACCAGGAAGGGGCAGCUUUGCAAACCCUCUGGCUCUGUACAGGAACGAAUUAUAGAAAGAUUGUUGAACCACUUGACAUUGCUGCCUACCACAGAGAGGGUGGAAGACACUACAUAACCAAUGGAGGAUCUAAACAUUACACGCUAUUGGAGCAAUGAUGCAAUGAAGAGGAGAAGGGGGCUUUGUCUUCUCAUGCAAAUUGCUCUCAGAGCUCAGAACCUACUCCUGAAGGGAAAGAAUCAUCAUGGAGUGAUCUGGUUAAGUUUGAGGAUUUAUUUAUAUAAUUGAACUGAUUGGAAGCUAUGCAGUGUCGGCCCCCACCCGAGCAGCUUCAUGAAACGGUGGAAAGAGUUGGAAGAAGUCAUAGAUACUUGCUAUAGGAGCUUCAUGAAGUAUGGAGAGGUAUGGCAUAGAUACUUGCAGUGUCUGAAUUUCCCAAAUCCAAUUUCAGAUUGUGUACUUAGAUUCGUGGAACUUGUUUUCUUGCUUUUUGUUAGGUACAAUUGAGAUGGGCUGAACCGCAAGGCCCGCCAGGAUGAACAAUAUAAUGGGCCUGAAUUUUAAACCAGUGGAUGGGCUUUGGACUGGAUUCAGCUGUCUGAGCCCAAUGAGUAUUGAAUGUGUUUCUGUAUAAAAUUAAAUUUUUAACAUUGAAAUAUAAGGACUUACUUAAAAACACAUUUGGUAACUUUUUUUUUUUGGUUAAUAAUAGAUUGUUUAAAAAAAAAUUAAAAAAAUAUUAUUUUUUAGAAUAAAUUUGAGGCAUGUUUAGGUAUUUUUCGUGGUAAAGAGUUUAGAAGCAAUGAGAAUAUAUAUAGAAUACUUUAAAACUUUUGCAUAAUACUUACUUACAUGAUGCUUUCAUAAAAAAUAAAUCAAUAAAAACAAUUUUCAUAGUUGAAUUUCAAAACAUAAAACAACUCAGAAUUGUUUUUAAGAAUUGUUCUUAGAAAUAGUUUUCUAUUAAGUCACAUUCAAGGAAUCGUUUUCAUAUAUGCAAGUAAUGGAAUGAAUGUGAUGAAAAAUAAAAAAUAAAAAGUAAGGGGAAAGAUAUUGUAAAUAAAGUGUUUUUAUCGUGGUUCAAUGACCUAUCCACUUCCACACCUUGAUGUAUUUCACAAUUUUAAAAGUUUUCUUAAUCAUGAUUCUCCUUAUUAUUCUUUAUGUCGAGAUUUUUUAAGUUUUAAUAGACUUUUUCAAUCACUAAGGUGGUGUUUGCUUUUUCACUUAAUUUUAAAUAUAACUUAAAACUAAAUAAUACUUAAUAGUAUCAACUAUUAAGUUGUUUGUUUCUAUAACAGUUUAUUUCUAUAUAAUAUUAAAAAGUAAAGAAAAAUCAACAUGCUAUUUUUGUCAUUUAAAAAAAGUCAAAUAUUUUGAAUUUUUUUAUUUAGCUAAAAAUUUAUAAUAAAUCCUAAAAAGAUAAAUAAUAAUAAUAAUAAAUAAAUAAAUAAAUAAAAACAAAUAAACAACUUAAAGUCUAAAAACAAAUUGUUGUCAACAAAAAAUUAAAAAAACAAGCACUUUCUAAAUAAGAUUCCUUAACCACUCGUACAAUAGCUCCUUUAAGCACAAGAUGUAAUGAAUGAAUACAACUUUGGUGAAAUAACUAAAGUGCUCACAAUGAGAAAAUAAACAAGUUUGGAUUCAAUAUAAUUUUUGGCUAUCUAAUUAAAAGGGUAAUUGAAAACCCAAUUUUGGAAAUAUAACCCUUCAUCAUUUUUUUUACCUCAUUUUAAUAAAAAUACUCUUAUUAUUUUCUUAUAAAAAUAAUCAUUUCUUUUAAAACAUACUAUAAAUACUUCAAAUAAUCAAGAGCAUUUAUGUAAAAAAUGAAUUACUCUUCAAAUAAAAAUAUUGGAGGGAAUAAAUUCACAAAUAUAUGGGGUAUUUCAUCCCUUCUAACUAAUUAUUUCUAUAAUUUAAAGAGUUUAAGAAGGCAAGACAACUAAAUAAAUGAAGUUUUCAAGUUAUUGUCUCUAUCAUAAAUAAAGUCCAAUAAUCACAUUUGUAUCGUUUUGUACAAAGACUAAUUAUUAGGCAUAUUUUGUAAAAACACUAAUUAUUAGACACAUUUUUCGCUCAAUCAAACAAUCACACAGUUGACUAGAAACUAGUUGUUGGACAUUUUUUUUUAUAAUCAUUGGAAGACAAGAAUACAAUCGACUACUUUAAUCAAUUAAGCAAUCAUACAGUCGACUAUAAACUAGUCAUUGGACAUUUUUUUUAAAAUCAUUGGAAGACAGGAAUACAAUCGAUCACUUUGGUCAAUUAAUCAAUUAUUCAAGAAAUUUAGAAAAAUAUUGGAUAAACGACAUAUAGUGGAUUAUUUCAAAUUGAAACUUAAGAUCGGAAAUCUUGCUUUUAAAUCAUGUAAAACACAAGUUUUUAUCUUUGAAGUAAUCAAUCUCAUUUUUAACAAAAAAAAUCAUUAAUAAUAUAUGAAUGAAUUCUUUUAAAAAAUGUGAUUAUUUUUCAUUCCCAAAUACUUAUGUUCUAAAGGUCAAUUUUAAAGCAUACUUGUCCCUACUAUGCCUUAUAAGAGAAUAUAUUCUAUACAUGUGAUAUUGUAAAAAAGUUUAAAAAAUAAAUAAAUAAAUAAAUAAAACCUCUUUUGUUUUCCUCUUUUGACUAUAUAUCAUCAUUAUCAUACUUAAAAUUAAAUAUUCAAUCAAAAUAUUAUUUUAUUAUCAUCAAAAUUUAAAUUUAACCAAACUUUAGGCUAGUACGUUGAUAUGACAAGUUAAUUUUCUAUCUUAAAGUUUUAAAAACUUUGAAAUUAAACAUUUUCUUACACAUUUAUUUUUAAAGUUUUUAGCAUAAAAUUUAAAAUAAAAAAAUACAUUAUUUUCAAAUUCAUUUUGAAAAUUUUUAUUUUAAAAAUAAAAAAUUUAAUAAAAAAAAAUGCAGGCCAGUUUUUUUUCCCUCUUUUUACCCUACAGUUUAAUUAAUUUGAGGUUAGAGGAAAGCUAUGAAAGAAAGAAAAUAAAAAUAAAAAAGAAAAUGAAAGAAUGAAAAAUAUAGCAAAAAAAUUUAAAAGAAAAAAUCUACAAGCUAAUAUUUUUUUCUUAUUUGAGAUGAUAUUUUAUAUUUAGCUUUACUACAAGCUAAAGUCACCAAAACCAUGAUCACAAAAGGGUAAUAUUGAUAUAAUGAAAGAUUAUGAAAAAAAAAAAGUUCUAUAACAAGCAAUAUUUGCUUGACUUUCAUUUAAAAAAAUUUAAAAUCAAAAUACUUUUAGUAAAAUUAUCUAAACAUGUCAAACCUAAACGAAGUGAGUGUUUCAUAUUAAGUUAUUUUUUAAGCCAAAAAACUUAUUUUAAUAGAAUUAAUCACAUAGAUAAAAAGUUGCUAUCGUGGUGGGAAAAAGGUUUUCUUUCAUUUAUUAAAUGCUAAUAAAUUUUGAAUUAUUGAAUUCAUAAAUCUUUUAAUAAAGGUCUCAUUACGUUACAUCUAAGGUUUUAUUGUGUUGGCAUCUUAUGUCUGGUGUUAUUAUUUAUUUUAUAUCCAUUUUAUUGUUUUAUAGUUUAAUCUCAUUUGAUUGUACUAUCAUUAAAUAAUCUAAAUUUGAUUACUAUGAGAUUUUAAAGUUAGAUAUGAUGUCAAUCAUGGUAUAGAUUUUGAAAGAUAUUAUCAAAUCAAAUAUUUAGGGUAUUUGAUAAAUCAAUUUAAUAACUUAAAAUGAUUUAAUAAUUUAUUUAUAUUAAUUUAAAGUUUUCAAAUAAAUUUUUUUAUAAAUAUAAUUUUAGAUUUAAGUAAAGAUAAGUUAAUUUUAAAUUUUAAAUUAAAAUAAUUAACUCAUUCUUAGUUAAAUCUAAAACUAUAUUUAAAAUAAAUAAAAACAGAGAUGGAUAUAAAUUAAGUCAAUAACUCACUUUAAAUCAUUGACUUGAUUUACCAAACACUUCAAAAUCUCACAUUUACAAGACCUGAAGUGGAUCCUUUUCAAUGAAUAUUGUCAUAUUUGUUGGAGUGUACCCAAAAUCCAAAUAUUUCAGUCUUUUUUCUCUUUAUUUCAUUUUAAAAUAAAAUAAUAAUCAUUAUACCAUGAACUUUCAAAAGUACCAUCAUUAUGUCAGUGGAGAUGGGAAGCUGAAAGCCUGAAACAAAUCAAUGGUGAAAGACACCAGUUUUCCAACAACAAAAAAGGCCAAAUCUGAUUCCAACUCAUCCAGUCUAUCUGUGCACUUUGACAACUGAAACACUUUAUUCCAAUUCACAUUUCACUAGAAAUUCCAUUCCAUAUCUACUCAAUAUUCACUGAAAAGGGUUUACAAUGAAAUAACAACUNNNNNNNNNNNNNNNNNNNNNNNNNNNNNNNNNNNNNNNNNNNNNNNNNNNNNNNNNNNNNNNNNNNNNNNNNNNNNNNNNNNNNNNNNNNNNNNNNNNNGAAAUUCAAAGAGCAACACUACUAACAUCUCAGAAUCCUCUGUGCAAUCACUACCAAAACUUUUCCUUACACAUGAAUGAAGAAAUGAGGCUGUACAUAUAUAAUCUGCGGAUGACAACAUGCAAGAAUGCAAAUGGGGGAAAUGGGGAAACAAAUAUUCUAGACAGGGUCUUAUUGGAAAGAAUCUAGGAUUGGGGCUUGAAGAAAAAUGGAAGAAUGGCAUCAUAAGACUGCAGUCUGAGUGGGAGAAGAAUUCAGGCGGGAGAGACAGGUUGAAGAUGAGUUCAGUAAUGAGCUCUCAAGGCUUGGGCAUGGUUCAGGGAACACCCAUUGGGAGAACCCAGAGACAUUUGAGCAAACCCAAGAGAUGGAGGCAGGAGGAGUAGUUGAUAGGGAGAUGUUGGAUAGACAAAUGGAAGUGAACGGGGAUUCUUGAAUACCAGUGAAGCUUCCAGCAAUGGUUAUGUUUGUGCCGAUCACAUUCUGCAAGGUGAUGUGAUCCAAGACAGGGAGUGCAUUGGGGUCAAAAUGGUCAUCUGGGUGGGAGCCGAUUUGGCCUGUUGCACUGAAGGCUGUGUGGAUGUUUUCCAUUGCGACAUCUGAUAUGAUGAUUUCUUGGAUAUAACCACCUCUUCCCUUGGUAGUUCUGAACUCGAUGCCACUGAAUGAGUUGUAUAGGUGGACCUGCUCCACACAGACGUUAGAAAUGCCACCAGACAUCUCACUACCGAAGGCCAGGGAAGAGCCAGAUGAUGAUUGAAGGUUGACCCGUCUGAUGUGUACAUUUGUGGUGGGUCUACCAUAGGCAAUGCCAUAUUCAUCCCAGCCACUCUUGAGUGCAAUGGCAUCAUGGCCCAUGGCAAUGCUGCAAUCCUCUAUGCAGGUGCUAUCUGAAGAAUCUGAAAUCAAAACAUUAUACAAAGUUGACUUAGCAAAAUUCUUUUCAUGACUGAACCCUUCCUGAACAUAGAAAAAAGUAAAAUUAUAAUCUACAUGAACCACUAAACAAACCACAGGUAACAACCUGUUUCCUCUUUCAACAAAUAUCCCUAUCAAUAUACUUAAACAUUCAUAUAUACAUUAAAAACUAAUAUAGAUUUUCAGAAAUAUCUUACCAAUCGGAAGAGGGUUCAAACAAUAAACAAAGACAAAACAAUUCUAGCACUGAUAAUUAAAGAUCCAAAAGUUUAUCAAAUUUAGUAAAAAGAAACAGACCAAAACCUACAAAAUUAUUGUUAAACAAGUGAAAAACAAAACAUUAAAUUAUCUAUUAUCACUCUUGGAGACUGACGGUAUGAAAAUAAGUUCAAAUGCCUCAGAUUCCUUCACCUCCAUUCUUAAUUCCUAGCCUCUUCAACAACCAAGUUUCAAGUACCUUAAUUCGUCCAUCUCCAGAACUGAUAGCAAAGAAGUCCAAAGAAGGGGUAAAGGUUGUUAAUAAAUCUCGGAUAUUCGAUGGGCCCAUGGUCCUGUAUCAAAAGAAUAAAUUAAAUGUCAAAGUCCUUACAAUUCAUAAUUUACAAAUUAGAAAUGAAAUUGUAGAUAUACGAGAGGUGUUCCAAGACGUUAUUAAGGGAGAUUGACUGUAACUGCCUAUUGAUAAAGAAACAAAACAACUUACCAUGACGAAAAUAAUAUAGCUCAAAAUCACAGUAGGAAGUGCCAAAAAAAGGUGGCAAUCCUCUGAAACAUAUGAUGAAGAAGAUAUAAAAAAAUAUAUAAGAAAGACACAGCAUUAAAAAUUUUAAAGCUCGCCAAUAUGUUGCCAAUCCAGUAAAUCAUUUCAUUAACUAAACUGAUUCAGCACUUAAGCUCUAAUAACCUUUGUUUGGUAGCCGAGAAAAUGGAAGAGAAGGAGGAAAAAAAUGCAAUAUCAUGCUAUCUGUUACUGAAUCAAGCCAAACAAUUCAGUUAAACUUGGCUGAACAGCAGUUUUAGCUUUCUUAGCCUGAAUAACGAAAAUUCAAGAUUUUAUCUAUUUUACUUUCCUGCAUUUUCUCAGCUUCCCGGUUUGUCUACGGACAAACUAGAGGAAAAUAAAAUAAAAAAUAAAAAGAAAACUAAAACCAGGUAUUUUCAGUUGUUCUCCAUAAAAAGCAAACGAAAAAUCAACAGAACUAAAUCCUGAGCAAUUACCGAUCCGGCUCAGGCUGAAUUUCCGGUUCUCUUAGAAAAUAUUAUAUAGCAGUUCCAAUAAGGGACCGUCGUGCAUCAUUAUACUAAUUUUCCUCCGUUUUUCGGCAACCAAACAGAGGAUAAACUUGUUUUGAGGAGAAGAUGCACGCUUACCUGUUUUGGCGACCGGCGGCGGCGAGAUGCAAAGAAAAAGAGAGAACGAGAGAGGGGUUUUACCUGUUUUGGCGACCGGCAGCGGCUAGAAGCAAAGAAAAAGAGAGAACGAGAGUGGGGUUUUAGGAACGCAGCCGCGUAGCUGCUCAUUUCGCAAGGGCCCCUUUUUUAUUUCUUUUUCUUUUUUUUCAAUUUUAGGAUUUUUCAUUUUAGCCUCCAUAUUUGAGUGUAUUUAGAUUUGUGGAACCUGUUUUGGGGCUUUUUGUUAGGUACAAUUGAGAUGGGCUGAACCGAAAAGCCCGCCAGGAUGAACAACAUUAAUGGGCCUGAAUUUUAAACCUAUGAAUGGGCUUUAUACUGGAUUCAGCUGUCUGAGCCCAAUGAGUAUUGAAUGUGUUUCUGUAUAAAAUUAAACUUUUAACAUUGAAAUAUGAGGACUUACUUAAAAACACAUUUGGUAACUUUUUUUUUUGGUUAAUAAUGGACUUUAAGAAAAAAUUAAAAAUAUAUUAUUUUUUAGAAUAAAUUUGAGGCAUGUUUAGGUAUUUUUUGUGGUAAAGAGUUUUGAGAAGCAAUAGAAAAUAUAUAGAAUACUUUAAAAACUUUUGCAUAAGAUACUUACUUACACGAGGCUUUCAUGAAAAAUAAAUCGAUAAAAACAAUUUUCAUAUUUGAAUUGCGAAACAUAAAACAACUCAAAACUGUUUUUAAGCAUUGUUCUUAAAAAUAGUUUUCUAUUAAGUCACAAUCAAGGAAGCUUUUAUCUUUUAUUUUUCUAUGUUUCAUCCUUGCAUAAAGGGAGUAUAAAGACUAAAGUUAAUCUAAUUAACAAAUUUGGAUAAUCAUCCAAUAAAUGAGUAAAUUAGGUGAUGAUCUCUUUAUAUAUGCAAGUAAUGGAAUGAAUGUGAUGAAAAAUAGAAAAAAGUAAGGGGAGAAAUGUUGUAAAUAAAGUGUUUUUAUUGUGGUUCAAUGACCAAUCCACUUCCACACCUUGACAUAUUUCACAAUUUUAAAAGUUUUCUUAAUCAUGAUUCUCCUUAUUAUUUUUUAAGUCCGGAUUUCUUAAGUUUCAAUAGACUUUUACAAUCACUAAGAUGGUGUUUAUUUUUUCACUUAAUUCUAAAUAUAAGUUAAAACUAAAUAAUAUUUAAUAAUAUCAAGUAUUAGGUUGUUUUUUUUUAUAACAUUUUAUUUUUAUAUAAUAUUAAAAAGUAAAGAAAAAUCAAUAUGUUAUUUUUUUCAUUUAAAAAAAGACAAAUAUUUUGCCUUUUUUUUAAGCUAAAAAUUUAUAAUAAAAAAAAAAAAGCAAACAAUUUAAAGUGUAAAACAGAUUGUUUUCAACAAAAAUUUAAAAAAACAAACACUUUCUAAAUAAGAUUCCUUAGCCACUUGUACAAUGGCUUCUUUAAGCACAAAAUGUAAUAAAUGAAUACAACUCUGGUGAAAUGACUAAAGUGCUCACAAUGAGAAGAUAAACAAGUUUGGAUUCAAUAUAAUUUUGGGUUAUCUAAUUAAAAUGGUCAUUGAAAACCCAAUUUUGGAAAUAUAACCCUUCGUCAUUUUUUUACCUCAUUUUAACAAAAAAAAGCUCUUAUUAUUUUCCUAUAAAAAUAAUCAUUCCUUUUAAAACACACUAUAAAUACUUCAAAUAGCCCAAGGUUUUUAUGUAAAAAAAAAUGAAUUACUCUUCAAAUAAAAAUAUUGGAGGGAAUAAAUUCACAAAUAUGGGUAUUUCAUCUCUUUUAACUAAUUAUUUCUAUAAUUUUAAGAGUUUAAGAAGGCUAGACAAAGACUAAUUAUUGGACUUUUUUUUUUAUAAUCAAUGGAAGACAGGAAUACAAUCGACUACUUUGAUCAAUUAAGCAAUUAUACAGUUGACAAUAAACUAGUCGUUAGACAUUUUUUUUUAUAAUAAUUGGAAGACAUGAAUACAAUCGAUUACUUUGGUCAAUUAAUCAAUUAUUUAAGAAAUUUAAAAAAAUAUUGGAUAAAAGAUAUAUAUAUAUAUAACGAAUUAUUUCAAAUUGAAACUUAAGAUCAGAAAUCGUGCUUUUAAUGUUGAAAAAUCAUGUAAAACACAAGUUUUUAUCUUUGAAGUAAUCAAUUCAUUUUUCACAAAAAAUCAUUAAUAAUACAUUAAUGAAUUCUUUUAAAAAAUCUUAUAAAAAAUGUGAUUAUUUUUCAUUCCCAAAUACUUAGGUUCUAAAGGUCAAUUUUAAAGCAUACUUAUCCUUACUAUGCCUUACAAGAAAAUCUAUUCUAUACAUAUGAUUUUGUAAAAAAGUGUAAAUAAAAAAAAUAAAAAAUAAAAAAUAAAAAAUAAAAAAAACCUCUCUUGUUUUCCUCUUUUGAUUGGAUAUCAUUAUUAUACUUAAAAUUAAAUAUUUAAUCAAAAUAUUAUUUUACUAUCAUCAAAAUUUAGAUUUAACCAAACUUUAGGCUAGUAUGUUGAUAUGACAAGUUAAUUUUCUAUCUUAAAGUUUUAAAAACUUUUGAAAUUAAACAUUUUCUUACACAUUUAUUUUUAAAGUUUUUAGCAUAAAAUUUAAAAUUAAAGCUUUUAAGGAAAAACCUCAUAAUACAAUAUACUAGAAAGACAUGGUCAAACAGAUAGAGAGGAAGCCUCGAAAGGAAGGGGCAAUGGUUGAACCACUUGACAUUGUUGCCUACUACUAAGAUGGUGUAAGAAACAACAUAACCAAUGGAACAUAUGCACAUUAAACAUUGUAUAAUUAUUAUAAAUGUCUUAUACAUUAUAUGUGAAAAUACGAAAAAAAAAAUAAAAUAAAAUUAUAUUCAACAUUUAUAUUUGUAUACAAACAAUAUUUUCAAUACUUUGAUAUAAAAAACAAAUUAAAAAAAUGAAGAAAAACAUAUAAAUAUAUUUACAAUGGACAAACUUAUUCAAUUAGUAUAAAUAUCUUGUAUAUUUAAUACAAAUACCUUAUACUUUGUGAAAAUGUAAAAAUAUAGUAUUUGAUAUUGAUACAUGUGGGUAAGUAAUUUUUCUAAUGGUUUGAUUUAAAAAACAAAUAAUGAGAAUCAAGAAAAACAUGCAAAUAAAUUAGUGUGAAUGAUAAAGGGUGUUUUUUACCAUAAAUUUUUAUGGACUUAGCAUCAAUUAUGCAUCUAUAGAUGUUAACCCAAUUAGCAUAAUGUGAAAACCCUUACACACAAUAUAUAAACCCUAUACUUGAAUUAGGAAGGACAAAAAAAAAAAUAGUUAGAGCAUUUGGUACCAUCAAUGAUGACUUCACCUAAAGAAAAGUUAAUGAACAUUAUGUUCUCAAUGGAAGAGCAACCCUAGUAGGACAUAUGGAGUAAAUUGAUGCUCUUCUUUCGACAACGAAGUAGCUAAGUCAUGAAAAUGGGGUUUUGCUAACAACAUUAAAUGCAAGAAUUCCCCAAUAUACUGCAAUUCAUAUUCAAUUCAUAGACUUUCAACUAACUACUCUCAAUAACGAGCAAACCCAAGUCAAUACAUAAGAUUGAUUAUUACUUAUGAUAAUUGAAACCCUAAUUAAUAAAUAAGGACACAAAUAUAUGUAUAUAUAUAUAUAUAUAUAUAUAUAUAUAUAUAAAAUAGAGACAAUUGUGUUUUGGACCCAGGUGGAUCAAAAAUUAAGGUUUGGUUCAUAAAACUUACAUAAUUGAUGGAAAUGAUAUAAGUUAUCAAAAUACCAAAAUACUCAUUGAUCUUUCACGUAAGCUUUUUUUGUCUUUAUUGCACCACUAUUCAUGCAACCAUAAUAAUUCUAUUUUAACUAUUUGGAUUUUUCAUUAUUUUUUAAAACUUUUUUUUUAUAAAUAAUUGAAAAUCAACAUUAUUUUCUAUUUUAAAUUAUAAAUAAAGAAAAAUUACGUUCAAAAACUAUUUUAAAAAAUAAUUUCUAAAAAAAUGGUAAUAUGAUUUAUAUUUUUUAUAUUUUCUUUUAGAAAAAAAUAUUUAAUUAAAAAAUGAAAAAUAUUUUUCAAAAUAAAAAUUGAAAACCUUGUUUAGUACUAUUUUUUUAUAUGAAAAUAAUAAAAAUAAUUAAUUUAUUAUCCAUUCAAUUUUAUAUGAAAAUUUUUUAUAAGAGUAAAAAGAUUCAAUAUCUUUAAUAAAAGAAAAAAAAAACAAAACAAAAAGUUAGAAAUAAGUAAUACUUAAUUAGGAAUAGAAAAAGGGAAAAAUUUUGAAAUUUACACUCACUAUAUGCCUAUGUAGGGAUUAAAGGUAUUUUAUGAAUUAAUGAAGGAUAAUAUUUUUUAACUUAAUUUUUACAAUUUAUUUGGGUCUUGGGCUUAAAUGUGAAUGAUAUAUGGAUCUUUAGUCAAUUUUUGGGCCCAUCCGGGCCCAAAACACAAUUCUCCCUAAAAAACUAUUUAUUAAAAUCAAUAAACUAAUAAAAACCAUUUAGAGAGUUUCAUAACUUAGUGUCGAAGCUAUUGUAAGAAAUAAGUAUUAUAUAAUGUAGAGUUUAGGUUUAAAGUCUACCUAAGAUUAAAUUUAAGUCUUAAGACAAAUUCACAUUCAAAACUAGGUUUUUAAGUUAGAAAAAUAGAUCUCUUAAACCAAUUAAAUGGUAAAAAAAAUUACAAAGAAAAUUUCUCUUGCUGGUUUCUUCAUCUUGAAAACUAACGGAAACAUAUAUCAAUAUUUGGUAUGAAAAUUCGUAACCUUAGAAACACAGCUUUGGGUCUUGCUGAGAAAAACAAAGCUUAUUUGCUCGUAGACCAUCCUGGUGGUCAUCAUACCGUGUGAGAACCGGGGAAGCAUCUUUUCUCGUAGACCGGCUUUUGUAGUCUUUCUUUAACAAUUACAAGUUGUCAGGAUUCCCUUCAUCCUCCUAUAUAAUAUUGUUUUUGGUCUUGUUCUGGUUGUAUCUCCGUGGAAGAAAGGAAGAUGAAUCAAGUUCCUUUGUAAGUAUCAAUGUCUCUGAUUCAUUUUUUGGUUCCUAGAAUCGAAUCCUCGCUUUGUUCUUGCUUAAUUUCUCCUUUUUCUGUUGGGUCUUUCACUGCAGGUUUAGCUCUGCACGGGAACUGGCAAAUUUGGUGCUGAGCUCCAAUCUAAUCGACUGUGCUUUGACCAAAAUUCUUGAACUUAACAGAGACCAAACAGCCUUGCCUGUUCAAUACAGACUUUUUCAACUGUCUUCCAAGUGCACAAUUGUAGCUUUUGUCUCUUCACCUGACUGCACUCAAUACCCUCUUCCUGGACAAGGAGAUUUAGAUCGGUCUCCUCUCUUUGACUUCCUCCGUACCGAAGAAUACCCGUCCGUCUCCAUUAACAGAGCAGCAUUAACCCUCUAUACCCCUCUCCAUGAUCAUCUCUCUGGACUAACAGAUGAGGUCAAAAUCUGAUACUUGUUUGAAUUUUCGUUUCCUUUUCGUUAACAAUUGUGAGACACGAAACAGCUUGACCAUGAGAUCUCCCUCAUGGAGUCGAACUACCUGAAGGAUAAGACGUCACACAUAUCCAUUUUCAUGGCAUCGUCACAUGACCCAUUGAUCGGUUGUGAUUCAACUCUUAACAGGAAUACAGUAGAACUGGUGUUGGUAUCUGUCUUUAGAUAAGCUUGCAUAUAUCUUGUCACUGAAAAAGGAAUGUUCAGAAGUGAGAUUAGUGGCAUUAUUCUGACAUGGAUUUCAUAUGGUUACUUGUUUUGCAGUUGACUCAGAUUGAAGGUCAGUUAAUCAUCACUGGGUACUCCCUGGGAGGAUCCGUUGCUUCUCUCUUCACCUUACGCCUGCUAGAUGGCAAUUUAUUAAAGCCCAAAUGCCGCCCCUUUUGUAUCACCUUUGGUUCACCCCUCAUAGGCGACUUUGGCCUCCAACACUCCAUAUGGAAUUCUUUCUUCCUGCAUGUAGUGUCUAACCAAGACCCAGUCCCCGGACUCUUCCUCCCAUCCGGCAGAUCUCCGCCCACAUCCUCCCAUUCACAAACUACCGGUUACAAGCCCUUCGGGACAUAUCUCUUGUGCUCUGAACUUGGUUGUGCUUGUUUUGACAACCCUGAUUUAAUUUUGGGAUUGCUUAAAGUCAUAUCAUCAGAGGUUGCCGGAGGAUUGCAGGAUGUUGAUUAUGGGGAGAUUUUAAGAAACCUCAAGGAGAGGGCAAUCUGCAAGGGACUGCCGCAGGUGGGUGAACGGUUUGCAGAUCCAUUUUCAGCUGGGAUCGUCAUGGAACUUGAGACAAUUGGAUUUAAUCAAACAAAGGUAAACAGCUUUCUCCCAUCUAAUGAUGUUAUGAAACAUGGUUUACACUUCACCAAAUACUGCAAUAACUGCCCUAUUCAGAUUUAUCUUCUUGUUCUUUGGGAUCUUCCAUAACUCGUCUCAUUUUUAAAAUUCAUGGCAGCUGCUGCAGCAUAACAUUGAUAUCAACGCUAUGAUAAGAACAAUGGAAGCUGAAACCAGAAGCCUAAUCCAGAAAAAUAAAGCUUCCGAUGCCAAGAAACUGAAUGACAUAAAAAGAGACAUGGCCCAUCUAGAAUGGUAUAAGAAGAAAUCGGAAAUGGGUUACUACGAUUGCUUCAAAAAUCAGGGGUCUAAAAGGGACAUCAACGUUGAACAGUUUAGGGGAAACCUCACAAUGUACUGGGAAGACAUGGUUGCACAAGUACAGAGGAAGCCCCAGAAGGAAGGAGCAACAUUUCGAACCCGUUGGCUCUAUGCAGGGACAGUUUAUAGGAGAAUGGUUGAACCACUGGACAUUGCUGCCUUCUACAGAGAGGG